GCAUGGUUGGGAUCAAACAACAAAAUUCUUCAGUGUGAUUUUCAUUUACAAUGAAACUCUGACAGAAAACGGCCCUUCGGCAUGAGUUGCAAUUGGCUUUAAAAUCACACAUACUUUUAUAUGGGUCUUUCCUUUGAAUAUAAUGAGAAUGGUUACAGAGGCUGCGAAAUACAAAAAUUGCGAAUGUUUGAUGUCAACACACACUCCACUGUAAACAGAAAUAUCUGAGAGGCAAGGACAAAGGCGUGCAGGCAUAAGAGAUGGCAUGUAGAGAGGAAUCUCAAGUAGAUUCAAGUUGCCAGUGCCAGCAUCUGAAACCAUCUUUCAGGAUUUAUGCCAACUGUGGACCAUGGGUUGACAUUUUAUUCUUAUUGAUGAUUGCUGUACUGGAAAUCCAGUUGUUUGCUUAAGUACACAAACAAAAUUCUGGUAUGAGGAUAGAAAGAUGUUCUCCUUCUAGUCUCCCUUGGUCUCUGGUAGUGCAGCUAAUUUUAUGAGAUAACUACCCCAAAGAUUGAAGUAGAAAAAGGAAGUUCAAGAGAAACGAGAGAACUUUUUAAUCUGGUUUUUUCGACCACAAAAAACAGGAUAACAAGGAACACGAUCACCUUAAGCAUGAGACAAUAGAAAAAUAUCAAUCUUGGAAAGAAAGCAAAAUUGGAUCGAAUCCCAACUCAGAGAAUAAAGUGAAACAUUGGGAUUCGAUCUGUCCCCACACCCCCCCCCCCCCCCCC
Molecule: long non-coding RNA, 734 nt
Organism: Pocillopora damicornis (cauliflower coral)
Lineage: Eukaryota; Metazoa; Cnidaria; Anthozoa; Scleractinia; Pocilloporidae
Source: RefSeq, a predicted model, not a curated record